RNAcentral lists this ribosomal RNA (1011 nucleotides) under Proteus mirabilis. RNAcentral's name for it is "partial 23S ribosomal RNA". It matches the Rfam family "Bacterial large subunit ribosomal RNA", at positions 1920 to 2925 of the family's 2925-position model. Lineage: Bacteria; Pseudomonadati; Pseudomonadota; Gammaproteobacteria; Enterobacterales; Morganellaceae. The record is from RNAcentral.
CCAGUAAACGGCGGCCGUAACUAUAACGGUCCUAAGGUAGCGAAAUUCCUUGUCGGGUAAGUUCCGACCUGCACGAAUGGCGUAAUGAUGGCCAGGCUGUCUCCACCCGAGACUCAGUGAAAUUGAACUCGCUGUGAAGAUGCAGUGUACCCGCGGCAAGACGGAAAGACCCCGUGAACCUUUACUAUAGCUUGACACUGAACAUUGAGCCUUGAUGUGUAGGAUAGGUGGGAGGCUUUGAAGUGUGGACGCCAGUCUGCAUGGAGCCAACCUUGAAAUACCACCCUUUAACGUUUGAUGUUCUAACCUAGGCCCAUAAACUGGGUCGGGGACCGUGUCUGGUGGGUAGUUUGACUGGGGCGGUCUCCUCCUAAAGAGUAACGGAGGAGCACGAAGGUUGGCUAAGCAUGGUCGGACAUCAUGCGGUUAGUGCAAAGGCAUAAGCCAGCUUGACUGCGAGAGUGACGGCUCGAGCAGGUACGAAAGUAGGUCUUAGUGAUCCGGUGGUUCUGAAUGGAAGGGCCAUCGCUCAACGGAUAAAAGGUACUCCGGGGAUAACAGGCUGAUACCGCCCAAGAGUUCAUAUCGACGGCGGUGUUUGGCACCUCGAUGUCGGCUCAUCACAUCCUGGGGCUGAAGUAGGUCCCAAGGGUAUGGCUGUUCGCCAUUUAAAGUGGUACGCGAGCUGGGUUUAGAACGUCGUGAGACAGUUCGGUCCCUAUCUGCCGUGGGCGUUGGAAGAUUGAGAGGGGUUGCUCCUAGUACGAGAGGACCGGAGUGAACGCACCACUGGUGUUCGGGUUGUCAUGCCAAUGGCAUUGCCCGGUAGCUAAGUGCGGAAGAGAUAACCGCUGAAAGCAUCUAAGCGGGAAACUUGCCUCGAGAUGAGUCUUCCCUGUCGCUUUAAGCGACCUAAAGGAACGUUUAAGACUAAGACGUUGAUAGGCUGGGUGUGUAAGCGUAGCGAUACGUUGAGCUAACCAGUACUAAUGAACCGUGAGGCUUAACCUG